GACCUCAAAUCAGGUAGGGCUACCCGCUGAACUUAANCAUAUCAAUAAGCGGANGAAAAGAAACUAACAAGGAUUCCCCUANUAGCGGCGAGCGAACCGGGAUGAGCUCAAAUUUGAAAUCUGGCUCCCUCCGGGUGUCC
Molecule: ribosomal RNA, 140 nt
Filed under: Biatoropsis usnearum
Lineage: Eukaryota; Fungi; Basidiomycota; Tremellomycetes; Tremellales; Tremellaceae
Description: partial large subunit ribosomal RNA
Rfam family: Eukaryotic large subunit ribosomal RNA
Source: RNAcentral